ACACGACUACAGCCCACAGGUAACACACACACCUGACUACAGCCCACAGGUAACACACACACCUGACUACAGCCCACAGGUAACACACACACCUGACUACAGCCCACAGGUAACACACACACCUGACUACAGCCCACAGGUAACACACACACACCUGACUACAGCCCACAGGUAACACACACACCUGACUACAGCCCACAGGUAACACACACACACACACCUGACUACAGCCCACAGGUAACACACACACACACCUGACUACAGCCCACAGGUAACACACACACCUGACUACAGCCCACAGGUAACACACACACCUGACUACAGCCCACAGGUAACACACACACCUGACUACAGCCCACAGGUAACACACACACACCUGACUACAGCCCACAGGUAACACACACACACCUGACUACAGCCCACAGGUAACACACACACACCUGACUACAGCCCACAGGUAACACACACACACACACCUGACUACAGCCCACAGGUAACACACACACCUGACUACAGCCCACAGGUAACACACACC
This is a long non-coding RNA of Labrus mixtus (cuckoo wrasse), 535 nucleotides long. RefSeq lists it as uncharacterized. Lineage: Eukaryota; Metazoa; Chordata; Actinopteri; Labriformes; Labridae. The transcript has 3 exons. The record is from RefSeq and is a predicted model, not a curated record.